Molecule: ribosomal RNA, 471 nt
Filed under: uncultured organism
Description: partial 16S ribosomal RNA
Rfam family: Bacterial small subunit ribosomal RNA
Source: RNAcentral
ACUCCUGCGGGAGGCAGCAGUGGGGAAUUUUGGACAAUGGGCGAAAGCCUGAUCCAGCCAUGCCGCGUGCAGGAUGAAGGCCUUCGGGUUGUAAACUGCUUUUGUACGGAACGAAACGGCCUUUUCUAAUAAAGAGGGCUAAUGACGGUACCGUAAGAAUAAGCACCGGCUAACUACGUACCAGCAGCCGCGGUAAUACGUAGGGUGCAAGCGUUAAUCGGAAUUACUGGGCGUAAAGCGUGCGCAGGCGGUUAUGUAAGACAGUUGUGAAAUCCCCGGGCUCAACCUGGGAACUGCAUCUGUGACUGCAUAGCUAGAGUACGGUAGAGGGGGAUGGAAUUCCGCGUGUAGCAGUGAAAUGCGUAGAUAUGCGGAGGAACACCGAUGGCGAAGGCAAUCCCCUGGACCUGUACUGACGCUCAUGCACGAAAGCGUGGGGAGCAAACAGGAUUAGAUACCCUAGUAGUCCCA